AACGUAGGACACAAGCGUUAUCCGGAGUUACUGGGCGUAAAGGGCGUUUAGGCGGGUGAUUAAGUUCGCUAUGAAAGCGCCAGGCUAAACCUGGCGAGGCUGGCGGAUACUGGUCAUCUGGAGUAAGGAAGAGGGAGGUAGAAUUCCGCGUGUAGUGGUGAAAUGCGCAGAUAUCAGGAGGAACACCGGUGGCGAAGGCGGCUUGCUGGGCCAGUUCUGACGCUGAGGAGCGAAAGCGUGGGGAGCGAACAGG
Molecule: ribosomal RNA, 253 nt
Filed under: uncultured bacterium
Lineage: Bacteria
Description: partial 16S ribosomal RNA
Rfam family: Bacterial small subunit ribosomal RNA
Source: RNAcentral